GACGAACGCUGGCGGCGUGCUUAACACAUGCAAGUCGAACGGGCCCGCCCCUGUUUUUGGGGGUGGGUUGAGUGGCGAACGGGUGAGUAUCACGUGAGUAACCUGCCCCCUGCUCCUGGUUAACUGCUUGAAAGGGCGGCUAAUACGGGGUGUGCCGGCUGGUCCGCAUGGGCCUGGUCGGGAUAGUUUCAUCUUCGGGUGUUUCGGUGGGGGAUGGGCUCGCGGCCUAUCAGCUUGUUGGUGGGGUGCUGGCCCACCAAGGCGGUGACGGGUAGCCGGCCUGAGAGGGUGGGCGGCCACACUGGGACUGAGACACGGCCCAGACUCCUGCGGGAGGAAGCAGUGGGGGGUAUUGCACAAUGGGCGGAAGCCUGAUGCAGCGACGUCGCGUGAGGGAUGGAGGCCUUCGGGUUGUGAACCUCUUUCUCCGGUGGUGAAGGCCCUGUCCGUUGCGGCGGGGUUGACGGUAGCCGGGUAUGAAGCGCCGGCUAACUACGUG
RNAcentral lists this ribosomal RNA (499 nucleotides) under uncultured bacterium. RNAcentral's name for it is "partial 16S ribosomal RNA". It matches the Rfam family "Bacterial small subunit ribosomal RNA", at positions 28 to 507 of the family's 1533-position model. The record is from RNAcentral.